Non-coding RNA from Arenibacter sp., 64 nucleotides. Lineage: Bacteria; Pseudomonadati; Bacteroidota; Flavobacteriia; Flavobacteriales; Flavobacteriaceae. The record is from Rfam.
UAUCUUUGCGCCCUGAUUGAAAAUCAAUCAUGUACAUAAAAAUCAUUAAAAUAAUAUUGGAAUG